GGAUGUGAGGGCUAUCUGGCUGCGACACCUGUCACCCCAUUGAUUGCCAGGGUUGAUACUGACUCAUCUGGCUGGCUGGGCGGGUGUCCCCUUCCUCCCUCACCACUCCACGUGCGUUCCUCCCGAAGCUGCGGGAGGACGACCAUCCCCGCUAGAGACGGCUAGAGGCCAGUCUUCGGUCAAGGGUAUACGAGUAGCUGCGCUCCCCUGCUAGAACCUCCAAACAAGCUCUCAAAAUAGUAGCCAGUAUAGCUAUGUAGAGAGUACAGGGGAGAUACCGAAUGUGAGUUCUAAGGAAAACAUUGUAAAUCUUCUACCAAACUGGAAACAGUGGUGACAAGGAAAUGAGGGGAUUUAGAGAU
This is an unclassified non-coding RNA of Ochotona princeps (American pika), 362 nucleotides long. Its record names the gene 7SK. It matches the Rfam family "7SK RNA". From Rfam's summary of the family: 7SK was discovered as an abundant small nuclear RNA in the mid-70s but a possible function has only recently been suggested. The record is from Ensembl. Lineage: Eukaryota; Metazoa; Chordata; Mammalia; Lagomorpha; Ochotonidae.